Molecule: ribosomal RNA, 1310 nt
Filed under: metagenome
Description: SSU rRNA
Rfam family: Eukaryotic small subunit ribosomal RNA
Source: RNAcentral
ACUAGGAUUUAUCCUGGGAUCACAAUGGGCUUGAUUUGCAAACUUUAUUAGCGAGGAACAAUUGGAGGGCAAGUCUGGUGCCAGCAGCCGCGGUAAUUCCAGCUCCAAUAGUGUAUAUUAAUGUUCCUGCAGUUAUUCGAUGCUCGUAGUUGGAUUUCUGGGGGCUGAUUCUGGACGGCGGCUAUGGCCGCCACCGGUUUCUUCCUUCAUCCACCUGUUAACGUUGUUCGAGAUUCAUUUCUCGGCUUCGGGCUCAGGUAUUUUACCCUUACUAUAUUCAUUUAUUUAUCUUCUUUUUGAGCAAAUUAUAGUGUUUCAGGCAGGCGUGCGCCGGAAUACUUUAGCAUGGAAUAAUCGAAUUGGACUGUGUUCCUUAUUUGUUGGUUUGAUGGGCACAGAAUGGUUAAUAGGGAUAGUAAUUUUCAGGGGAGGCAUUAGUAUUUAAUUUCCAGAGGUGAAAUUCUUUGAAAUAUUAAAGACUAACUUAUGCGAAAGCAUUUAUUUUGCCAAUAAUGUUUUCAUUAAUCAUUGAACGAAAGUUAGGGGAUCAAAGACGAUCAGAUACCGUCCUAGUCUUAACCAUAAACGUUGCCGACUAGGGAUCGGAGGGCGUGCACAUUCCGCCUUCGGCACCUUACGAGAAAUCAAAGUCUUUUGGGUUCUGGGGGUAGUAUGGUCGCAAGGCUGAAACUUAAAGGAAUUGACGGAAGGGCACCACCAGGAGUGGAGCUUGCGGCUCAAUUUGACUCAACACGGGAAAUCUUACCAGGUCCAGACAUAGCGAGGAUUGACAGAUUGAUAGCUCUUUCUUGAUUCUAUGGGUAUUUUUGGUGGUGCAUGGCCGUUCUUAGUUGGUGGAGUGAUUUGUCUGGUUAAUUCCGUUAAACGAACGAGACCUCAGCCUGCUAAAUAGUUACUUGUCUUUCUUUUACGAGACAUGUUAACUUCUUAGAGGGACGUUGUGUGCAACCACAAGGAAGUUGAGGCAAUAACAGGUCUGUGAUGCCCUUAGAUGUCCUGGGCCGCACGCGUGCUACACUGAUACGUACAACGAGGUAUAUGUAUUUAUACAUCGAUGCUGCUCCGAAAUAGACAAAGCUAAAUCUUCUAAAAUACGUAUCGUGCUGCGGAUAGAUCGUCGAAAUUAUGAAUCUUGAAGGUGGAAUUCCUAGUAAGCGCGGGUCAUCAACCCGCGUUGAUUACGUCCCUGCCCUUUGUACACACCGCCCGUCGCUCCUACCAAUUUCGUGUGGCUCGGUGAACCUCUUUGGACUGUCGAGCAAUCGCGAAAUUAGAGUGAACCUGGUCAC